AUCGAACGCUGGCGGCAGGCCUAACACAUGCAAGUCGAGCGGAUGAAGGGAGCUUGCUCCUGGAUUCAGCGGCGGACGGGUGAGUAAUGCCUAGGAAUCUGCCUGGUAGUGGGGGAUAACGUCCGGAAACGGGCGCUAAUACCGCAUACGUCCUGAGGGAGAAAGUGGGGGAUCUUCGGACCUCACGCUAUCAGAUGAGCCUAGGUCGGAUUAGCUAGUUGGUGGGGUAAAGGCCUACCAAGGCGACGAUCCGUAACUGGUCUGAGAGGAUGAUCAGUCACACUGGAACUGAGACACGGUCCAGACUCCUACGGGAGGCAGCAGUGGGGAAUAUUGGACAAUGGGCGAAAGCCUGAUCCAGCCAUGCCGCGUGUGUGAAGAAGGUCUUCGGAUUGUAAAGCACUUUAAGUUGGGAGGAAGGGCAGUAAGUUAAUACCUUGCUGUUUUGACGUUACCAACAGAAUAAGCACCGGCUAACUUCGU
Molecule: ribosomal RNA, 483 nt
Filed under: uncultured bacterium
Lineage: Bacteria
Description: partial 16S ribosomal RNA
Rfam family: Bacterial small subunit ribosomal RNA
Source: RNAcentral